GCUCACGCUCAUCGGGAGACCAAAACCAAUUUCUCCUCUCGGUCCCUGUUGUAGCCUCUAUAAAGCCUUGUAUCCACAAAGUCCACUUCUUACCCAAGUAAUGGGCCGGACACAUCCUUGCUUGAAGCAAGGGGACCGACCAAACAUUGUUUGGAGUCACAGACAAUCAGCGAAACGUUGAUUUUUUUCAUUAUUUUGUUUGUUUAUUUUUUUAAGCUCCUGGUUAUACCAAUAAAAAAAAUAUAGAACUGUCACAUCAAUAGCCUCUCUAGAGCCGAUCCCAUGGAUAUCCGGUUAUGUCAAUAAACUUUUUCCAUUAGAAGUUGUGUUGGUGGAUCGUCACCUCAACGACCCCCUAGAGUCGGCCCACAGGUAUUGAUGGAGAUAAAUUUAGGUACGGAGGCUACAUGAUUUACCUUUCUCAUUUCGCUAUGGUCCAGUGGUGAGGAGGCGUUCGGGAUGAACAAAUCAUCUUUUUUGCUUUCUUAUUUAUGAAAUUUUAUUCAUUUAUAGUGCUAAUCAUGCCUAAGCUUGGAUUGAAGGGAUUAAAAAUUUGCUAGAAUAUUGAAUCCAUAAAAAUAUUUCAACAUAAACAUGCUAGAUGAUUAUAUAAAUUGAAAAUACUCUACUUCUUUGAACCUCUAAAAUAAGAUUAAAUUAUGCACAUAUUUUCUUUGAACCUCUAAAAUAAGAUUAAAUUAUGCACAUAUUUUCUGAUUAUCCACUUGACAAUUUAUACUUACUAUUUGUUUUUCUUGACCUCCAAUUUUACUAGCACUAUCUUGAUAUUAUAAUUGAUUUCAGCUGGUACAAAUAAUUGUUUAGAGAUCUUGACUAGCUAAUUCCGUAAUUUUUAUUUCAUAGUAUUUUUGUUUUGUUUCAUUUGUUAUUUUAUCCAUAUAGUUUUCGUUCUAUGAAAAAAAUGAUAUAAAUAAAUAAAUUUGAUGAAUUUCUUGAUUACUAUGUUUAUAUGCCUUUGUAGGUCUUUUUAUUAUAAUGUCACCGAGAAGGGUAUCUCCUGAUGUAUGAAAAUUACGUUCCGGGUCUCCGGAACGUGACAAGACCGAACAUGCUUCGAGAUAGUACAUAAAGAUCAGUGACAUUCAGUUGAUCCUUGUAAUUCUCGCCAUACAGUUAUCGACUGGACGAGGAAUCGGCAAGUAUUGAACAUGGCAGUUCGGAUUUAGCCUUUCAAGCCUGCAAGUUAAUUCAGAAGAAAAGCAUUGCAGUAUCAAAAUCAGCAUUAUAUAUUGAUUCAUCAUAUUGUGAUUCCUAACAUGUUCAAAAGCCCAAACUGAAGUGUUGAAGAACUCACUGAUAGUCUAGAAGGAAAUGGUGCAGGAAUACCAAUAUCUCUAUCCUGGCAAGAUCUCUGCCCGGGCACAACCUGCUUCCUCCUCCGAAGGGAAGAAAAGUCCCUGCUUUUGGUACAAAAUCCUAGAACACUCGAAGCAGGAAACUUCAUCAAUGUAUAAUUGAGACCCCCAAAAGCGAGUAAAUCAGUGUUCUACUUACAUCCCAUCUAGAUGAGUUGAACUUGUAAGGCUCAGGGUAGGAUUGAGGAUCCAUGUUAACAUUUCGAUACCAUAGCUGAAUUCUCCAUCCCUUCGGUAUCAAGUAGCCUGCAAAUUAUUGAAUGUUCACUUUGCGUACGAUAAGAGAUUAGUAGCUCUAUAAGGACACAAACCAUUGAGAUAUGUGUCUUUUGUUGCUUUCCGGAAAGCCACAAAUGAGAUGUUAAUGAUGCGUAGCGUCUCAUCGAUGACCUUUACGAAGAACAAGGGAAGAAUUUUGUAGUCAAGACGAAGUCAUGGAUGCAUUAUCGUUGAUACUAAUAGUAUUCGCACCUUCGAAAGAUUGAGAGGCCAAGCAAAUGGUUAUUGUGCGAUAUUAUAUACCUUUGCUUUCUCGAAAACAUCUGGAUGUUCUUGAAGAAACACAGUUGCCCACAUGGAAAUAUGCCCGGAUGAUUCAUGGCCAGCAUUGAGGUACAUAAUU
Molecule: long non-coding RNA, 1998 nt
Organism: Zingiber officinale
Lineage: Eukaryota; Viridiplantae; Streptophyta; Magnoliopsida; Zingiberales; Zingiberaceae
Exons: 3
Source: RefSeq, a predicted model, not a curated record